UACGUAGGUGGCAAGCGUUGUCCGGAUUUACUGGGCGUAAAGAGCGCGCAGGCGGUCGUUCAAGUCGAGUGUGAAAGCCCCCGGCUCAACUGGGGAGGGUCACUCGAUACUGAUCGACUCGAAGGCAGAAGAGGGAAGCGGAAUUCCCGGUGUAGCGGUGAAAUGCGUAGAGAUCGGGAGGAACAUCAGUGGCGAAGGCGGCCUUCUGGACCAGUACUGACGCUGAGGCACGAAAGCGUGGGGAGCAAACAGG
This 253-nucleotide ribosomal RNA is filed under the name uncultured bacterium. RNAcentral describes it as "partial 16S ribosomal RNA". It matches the Rfam family "Bacterial small subunit ribosomal RNA", at positions 524 to 776 of the family's 1533-position model. The record is from RNAcentral.